Molecule: ribosomal RNA, 1587 nt
Filed under: Triticum aestivum (bread wheat)
Lineage: Eukaryota; Viridiplantae; Streptophyta; Magnoliopsida; Poales; Poaceae
Description: partial small subunit ribosomal RNA
Source: RNAcentral
AUGCGUUUGUUUAACCAAGCACUACUUGCUCGCCAAGCCUGGAGGCUGCUGCAAUUCCCUAACUCCUUGUGUGCGCAGGUACUUAAGGCCAAGUACUACCCCAAUGACGUCCUAACAAACACAGUCUUUACUGGUAAUGGUUCCUCCACUUGGCAUGUGAUUGAGUAUGACCUCGAGCUACUUAAGAAAGGUAUCAUUUGGAGGGUAGGGAAUGGAGCGAGCAUACGAGCUUGGCGAGAUCCUUGGAUCCCACGUAAUCAUCAGUUGCGCCCGAUGACUGCUAGAGGGAGAUGCCGGCUAAGAUGGGUGGCUGAUUUCAUCGACCCCAAUGGUAACUGGAAUAUGGCCCUUGUCCGCCAACACUUCCUGCCUAUUGACGUUGCGGAAAUCAUCAAAAUUAAACCGUCAACACGGAAUCAAGAAGAUUUUCUUGCAUGGCACCCGGAGAAACGAGGGAUGUUUACCGUGCGCAGUGUGUACCGCUUGGCUCUUGAUGAAAAAAUGCGUAACGAAAGUAGUGGCGCGUCCAGCAACAAUCCGAGCGGUUACAGACCUGACUGGAAGCUCAUUUGGCAAUGUCCAGUCCCUCCUAAGGUACGGAUUUUUGCAUGGAAGCUUGCAUCUAAUGCUUUGGCUACCCAGGAGAAUAUGUGCAGAAGAGGUAUGGAGGAAGAUCCCACAUGCACUGUGUGUGGACGGGAACCAGAAGAUGCUUUCCAUGCCCUACUCCGAUGCCCACAUGCGCGGGAGCUUUGGGCAGCAAUGCGUCAAGAAUGGACCCUCCCAGCUGAAGGCGUUUUUGAGCCAACCGGGCCUGAAUGGAUACUGCAUGCUCUACAUGCAAUGACGGAGCAGCAGCGGGCUAUGGUUCUCAUGAUUCUUUGGCGUGUAUGGCAUUGCCACAAUGAAAUCACCCACCAAAAAAUCCCACCAACGGCUCAAGGCUCAAAAAACUUCUUGGCAAGUUACCUCAACUCUCUCUUGCUUAUUCAGCAGCACCCUAUUAUUGAUGUUCAGAAGGGAAAGCAAGUGGUGGAUUACGUCCAGAGCUGCACCACUACACGCCACUCGUCGGAUGGCCGUCAAAAAGUGCGUCAGGAAUGGGAACCUCCACCAGCGGACCGGGUCAAACUCAAUGUGGAUGGAUCGUUCAUUCCAGACGGGUCAGCAGGAACGGGCAUGGCGCUUCGUGACAGUGCUGGAUCCUCGAUCUUCGUUGCAUGCAGGUACCUCUUUUGCGCUGACGAUGUGGAUGCAGAACUUGCUGCAAUGGAGGAGGGCCUGGCCCUUACCCUCCAGUGGUCGCCACUUCCGGUGUCCGUGGAGACGGACUGUGCUGAAGCUGUUGCGCUGGUGCAAUCCUCCACCCCCAACAUGUCGCGCUAUAUGUCGCGUAUCCAGAAUAUUCGUGAACUUCUUCAGGAAAGAGAUGUCUCGAUCGUCAAAAUCAGUCGCGAAGCCAACUCUGUGAGCCAUGGCUUAGCACAGCUAGGUAGAGAGCAGGUGAAAACUACAGUUUGGCUAAGAAAUUUCCCUAAGAAAAUUGCCAUAGCCAUGAACACCGAUUGUAUCUCUAUUGCUAGCUAA